UUGCUAUCCAGAGAGCGGCGUACGGGUGCGUAACACGUGUGCAACCUGCCUUUAUCUGGGGGAUAGCCUUUCGAAAGGAAGAUUAAUACCCCAUAAUAUGGUGUCCGGCAUCGGUCGCCAUUGAAAGCCUCGGCGGAUAGAGAUGGGCACGCGCAAGAUUAGAUAGUUGGCGGGGUAACGGCCCACCAAGUCGAUGAUCUUUAGGGGUCCUGAGAGGGAGAUCCCCCACACUGGUACUGAGACACGGACCAGACUCCUACGGGAGGCAGCAGUGAGGAAUAUUGGACAAUGGGUGGAAGCCUGAUCCAGCCAUCCCGCGUGAAGGAUGACGGUCCUAUGGAUUGUAAACUUCUUUUGUACAGGGAUAAACCUGCCCUCGUGAGGGCAGCUGAAGGUACUGUACGAAUAAGCACCGGCUAACUCCGUGCCAGCAGCCGCGGUAAUACGGAGGGUGCGAGCGUUAUCCGGAUUUAUUGGGUUUAAAGGGUCCGUAGGCGGGCCUGUAAGUCAGUGGUGAAAUCUCAUAGCUUAACUAUGAAACUGCCACUGAUACUGCAGGCCUUGAGUAAAUUUGAAGUGGCUGGAAUAAGUAGUGUAGCGGUGAAAUGCAUAGAUAUUACUUAGAACACCGAUUGCGAAGGCAGGUCACUAAGAUUUAACUGACGCUGAUGGACGAAAGCGUGGGGAGCGAACAGGAUUAGAUACCCUGGUAGUCCACGCCGUAAACGAUGCUAACUCGUUUUUGGAUCUUCGGGUUCAGAGACCAAGCGAAAGUGAUAAGUUAGCCACCUGGGGAGUACGUCCGCAAGGAUGAAACUCAAAGGAAUUGACGGGGGCCCGCACAAGCGGUGGAUUAUGUGGUUUAAUUCGAUGAUACGCGAGGAACCUUACCAAGACUUAAAUGGGAAUUGACAGAUUUAGAAAUAGAUCCUCCUUCGGGCAAUUUUCAAGGUGCUGCAUGGUUGUCGUCAGCUCGUGCCGUGAGGUGUUAGGUUAAGUCCUGCAACGAGCGCAACCCCUGCCAACAGUUGCCAUCAUUCAGUUGGGGACUCUGUUGGGACUGCCUACGCAAGUAGAGAGGAAGGUGGGGAUGACGUCAAAUCAUCACGGCCCUUACGUCUUGGGCCACACACGUAAUACAAUGGCCGGUACAGAGGGCAGCUACCUGGUGACAGGAUGCGAAUCUCGAAAGCCGGU
Molecule: ribosomal RNA, 1197 nt
Filed under: uncultured bacterium
Lineage: Bacteria
Description: bacterial SSU rRNA
Rfam family: Bacterial small subunit ribosomal RNA
Source: RNAcentral